This is a transfer RNA of 72 nucleotides. It matches the Rfam family "tRNA". From Rfam's summary of the family: Transfer RNA (tRNA) molecules are approximately 80 nucleotides in length. Their secondary structure includes four short double-helical elements and three loops (D, anti-codon, and T loops). The record is from Rfam.
GGUUGCAUAGUGUAGUGGUUAUCACUUUUGGUUCUGAUCCAAACAACCCCGGUUCGAAUCCGGGUGCGACCU